UUGCGGGGAAGUCCUAAAGCCUCGGGGUACUAACCCACUGCAGGGAUGCAGUGGGGGCCUGUGUUAAUCGCACGGGGUACAGUAACAACCCCCGGGGAUCUGGUGCUCGGUGCCGGAAUGGACGAUCCGCAGCGAAGCCCCUAGGCCAGGGGAACGUUCACAGACUAAGUGGUUGUGGGUAGGAGCUGCUCCUGCUUAAGAUAUAGUCGGGCCGGCGCGGAAACGCGCUGGGGACUCGCAAGACGUAAACCGCUCCGUAGGUGAACCUGCGGAGGGAUC
This 279-nucleotide ribosomal RNA is filed under the name Pezicula corticola. RNAcentral describes it as "partial 18S ribosomal RNA". The stretch from base 1 to 230 matches the Rfam family "Group I catalytic intron", at positions 59 to 253 of the family's 253-position model. From Rfam's summary of the family: Group I catalytic introns are large self-splicing ribozymes. They catalyse their own excision from mRNA, tRNA and rRNA precursors in a wide range of organisms. The record is from RNAcentral. Lineage: Eukaryota; Fungi; Ascomycota; Leotiomycetes; Helotiales; Dermateaceae.